Molecule: ribosomal RNA, 119 nt
Filed under: Pteropus alecto (black flying fox)
Lineage: Eukaryota; Metazoa; Chordata; Mammalia; Chiroptera; Pteropodidae
Source: RNAcentral
GUCUACGGCCAUGCCACCCUGAACAAGCCUGAUACCGUCUGAUCUCAGAAGCUAAGUAGGGUCGGGCCUGGUUAGUAUUUGGAUGGGAGACCACCUAGGAAGACCAGAUGCUGUAGGCA